AUCAAAUAAAAGCAAAAUGCAUAAACAAAAUCAAAGAAGAGAACCACCAUUACAAGCAUUGCUAACUAAUUUCAACUACAUAACUUCAAUUAGAAGAUUUUCUACCAAGAAAAUUAUGAGAAAAUCAGAGAUCACUAGAAAAAAUAUAGAUUCAUCAUAAGUUCAAUAAUCCAAUUCAGAGAUCAAUAGAAAAAAAAAACAUUUACCUGAUUUUACUCUAGAAAUUCCUUUCAAUCACCAUGAAUUGUGAAAAUCAAAGAGGUGAGACUGAGAGAGGGAAGUCGGAAAGAGAGAGAGAGAAGUGGCUGAUUGCCUUUUCCUUUUUCUUGAGUUUAGACUGUACUCAUCGUUCCCUCUACUUGUUCUUGGUUUGAUCAGAUGAGCUA
RNAcentral lists this long non-coding RNA (386 nucleotides) under Aquilegia coerulea. Its description in RNAcentral is "long non-coding RNA (ACOE_LNC000592)". Lineage: Eukaryota; Viridiplantae; Streptophyta; Magnoliopsida; Ranunculales; Ranunculaceae. The record is from RNAcentral.